UACGGGGGGAGCAAGCGUUGUUCGGAAUCACUGGGCUUAAAGGGCGCGUAGGCGGGUCAGCAAGUCAGGGGUGAAAUCCCACGGCUCAACCGUGGAAGUGCCUUUGAUACUGCUGGUCUUGAGGGAGGUAGGGGCGUGCGGAACUUCCGGUGGAGCGGUGAAAUGCGUAGAUAUCGGAAGGAACACCGGUGGCGAAAGCGGCGCGCUGGAUCUCUACUGACGCUGAGGCGCGAAAGCCAGGGGAGCAAACGGG
Molecule: ribosomal RNA, 253 nt
Filed under: uncultured bacterium
Lineage: Bacteria
Description: partial 16S ribosomal RNA
Rfam family: Bacterial small subunit ribosomal RNA
Source: RNAcentral